UAACGGGUAUGUCCACGCAGUACUGGC
Molecule: non-coding RNA, 27 nt
Filed under: Homo sapiens (human)
Lineage: Eukaryota; Metazoa; Chordata; Mammalia; Primates; Hominidae
Source: RNAcentral